RNAcentral lists this ribosomal RNA (253 nucleotides) under uncultured bacterium. Its description in RNAcentral is "partial 16S ribosomal RNA". It matches the Rfam family "Bacterial small subunit ribosomal RNA", at positions 524 to 776 of the family's 1533-position model. The record is from RNAcentral.
UACGUAGGGAGCAAGCGUUGUCCGGAAUCAUUGGGCGUAAAGCGCGCGUAGGUGGCUUCGUAAGUCCGUUGUGAAAGUCAAAGGCUUAACCUUUGAAAGCCGAUGGAUACUGCGGAGCUAGAGUACGGAAGAGGCGAGUGGAAUUCCUGGUGUAGCGGUGGAAUGCGCAGAUAUCGGGAGGAACACCAGUGGCGAAGGCGACUUCCUGGCCUGUUCUUGACGCUGAGGCGCGAAAGCUAGGGGAGCAAACGGG